This 913-nucleotide long non-coding RNA is filed under the name Cricetulus griseus (Chinese hamster). RNAcentral describes it as "lncRNA (ENSCGRG00000025217.1)". Lineage: Eukaryota; Metazoa; Chordata; Mammalia; Rodentia; Cricetidae. The record is from RNAcentral.
CAUCUGAUUUUUACUUUAACUAAAAAAUUCUUAUGUCUGGCUUGUUAAAGUUAGCUUUCUAUUGUAGACAAUGUAUAAAAAUCUAGAAAGAGAUAAAUCUCAACUUGAAGAUGAAAUACUACUUUUAGAGAAGAAACUAGAAGAAGAGAGAGCUAAGCAUUAUGAACAAGAUGAAUUGAUGACAGACAUUUUAAAAACGAUACAAUCUCUAGAAAGUGCAUCCGAGUAUGUCAAGAUACAACUCGCUGAAGCAAAAACUAACAUCAGUAUAUUUCAAAUGAAUGAAAAACACCUUAAGGAAGUAAUACAAGAUACCCUGAAUGAAAAUUAUCAACUUGAGGAAAGCCUGAAGGAGCUUUUAGAGGAAUUUGAAAAAACGAAAGAACAAACUGACGAACUGAAUAAUCAGAAAGCAAUAUGUGGAAGAUCCAAAGUACAGGCAGAGCAAGUCCUAAAUGAAAAAGAAAAUGAGAUCAAGUCUCUGAUGGAGAGCCUGAUGAAGACCAAAGUUUGGACUUGCUUGUUUGGAGACUAUAUAACAGAUGAUGAUGGGCCAGUAUCCUCAAAAUUGGAACUGAGAAAGAAUGAAACCCAAGGUGACCCAGUGAACUCAACUCUGCCCAACUCUGUUCCUGCUGAAUCAGAGGGAGCUGGCCCUGGCUCCAUCCCUUCACCGGUUCCCCAGGAUAGAGACCCCAGAGGCCCUCCCAUUGCAGAAGAUCCAAGAAGUCCCGUUAUGAGUAGGCCACCCCUAUCCCCACCGCCUACUCUGGGAAACAUCCAUGCUGGUCCUCCAGAUUCUGUUACAUCAAGGGACUUUGCUGGCCCACCUUUCCCGCCGUACCCAGGUAGGCUUUUUUUUUUUUUUUUUAUAAGUCCAAGUAUGUGUCAAUAUUCAUCUGUGCGUUUCUUA